CUUGUAAAGUCCUUCUUAGAGAGACAGAUCCUUUCUAAGGGGAAGAUAUAAUACACGACAGGUAGAACUUGUGUGCAGAGCGCGGUCCAUGCCCAGUGUAUUGAGAAGGUGGGCAGAAAAUCUCCUGGAAAAGCAUGCAUGGUUUUGGAGAAAAUAAGCAGAAGGCAUGGGGACUGGAAGUUGUGAGGUACGAUGAGGCUUUUGCUGAUACAGGAAUGAUGUCCUCACCCACUGGGCCAUAGGAGUGGCCUCCCAGGAUCAAAGAACAUGGGGAGCCAGCACUGCCAGGACGAAGAAAGAGCUUCAUUACUAUGAACUUGCUUGUGGCUGGAGGAAUUGAAGUGGAGACGCUGACUCCCGUGAGCUUGGAGACUGCAGGGAUGACAACCUUAUGUUACAUUGAUGUGUUCUCAUUUUUGUUGAGUAUGACUAUACUUCUGUACAUUUUAUUUCACUCUUUAAACAUUUAUGUUCCUGUGUUAUGAUUAAUUAAGUGUAGUAAAAUGAAGUGUUUGCAAAGUUAAAA
Molecule: long non-coding RNA, 526 nt
Filed under: Homo sapiens (human)
Lineage: Eukaryota; Metazoa; Chordata; Mammalia; Primates; Hominidae
Description: HSALNT0183570
Source: RNAcentral